CAGUAGCCACGGGAAUACGUAGGUGGCAAGCGUUGUCCGGAAUUAUUGGGCGUAAAGGGCGCGUAGGCGGGCUGAUAAGUCAGGGGUGAAAUCCCAAGGCUCAACCUUGGAACUGCCUUUGAUACUGUUUGUCUUGAGUUCGAGAGAGGUAAGUGGAACUGCGAGUGUAGAGGUGAAAUUCGUAGAUAUUCGCAAGAACACCAGUGGCGAAGGCGGCUUACUGGCUCGAAACUGACGCUGAGGCGCGAAAGCGUGGGGAGCAAACAGGAUUAGAUACCCGGGUAGUCCCUGUCUCUUAUAA
This 301-nucleotide ribosomal RNA is filed under the name uncultured bacterium. RNAcentral's name for it is "partial 16S ribosomal RNA". It matches the Rfam family "Bacterial small subunit ribosomal RNA", at positions 509 to 809 of the family's 1533-position model. The record is from RNAcentral.